GUGUAAACAUUUGUGAAAUCUCGCAGCUUCUUCAGCACUCCUUUAUGCUCCAGGUAAAUUGUUAAUUAAGGAUAAUUUCAUUGAGUUUGUUUUAAUCUCUUUACGAAUUACUUUCUGUAUAUUAGCAUAUAAGAUCAAUAUGACUUAUAGGCCCUGCGUCUCUCGGUCCAACCACUUCUCCUCCUACAGAAACCCAAAUUCCUGAAGGCCCUGCUUCUUUCGGUCCCGCCACUUCUCCGACAAGUUCGAUGGAUCCUGAUGGCAUGCCUGAUGACACGGAUGUUUCCGGACCGCGCAACGGAGGAGACCCGAGGGAGCCACCAAAGACUUCAGCGUCGUCGCCUUCCUCUUCACUCUCUCUCAAGCUUUCGCUUCUUCUAUUUGCUGUGGGGACACACUACAGUUGAUUAAUAUAAAGAACAAAUCAGCAUAUUUUUUCCUAAUUGGGGAACAAAUCAGUCAAACCAUAUAUACAAGACGUUUUUGUUUUCUUGCUGUUAUACAAAAGGGAAAUUUACCAUGCAGGAGUGAGACGUUUCUCCUUGGGAUGCAAGUCAUCUCCAGAAUAUCUAUCUGAGUUCUCUGAGUAUUUGUACGUUGGUGGGAAAUAGAUCUUUCCUUCGUUCCAUCCUUUGAACACAUGGCCUCGUUUCUUCUCCAUUCUUAACUACAUGUAAACAUUCUUCUUGAAAUAAGAAACUUAAUGCUCUUUGUUCA
Long non-coding RNA from Brassica napus (rape), 717 nucleotides. RefSeq lists it as uncharacterized. The record is from RefSeq and is a predicted model, not a curated record. The transcript is spliced from 3 exons. Lineage: Eukaryota; Viridiplantae; Streptophyta; Magnoliopsida; Brassicales; Brassicaceae.